AGCGAACAUUGGCGGUAGGCUUAACACAUGCAAGUCGAGCGAGGCGUAAUAGUCGAGCGGCGAACGGGUGAGUAAUACAUGGGAAUCUACCUUGGAGUGGGGGAUAACAGCCAGAAAUGGCUGCUAAUACCGCAUAAUCCCGAGAGGGGAAAGCGCGCUGCGCUCCAAGAUGAGCCCAUGGCUGAUUAGCUAGUUGGUGGGGUAAAGGCCUACCAAGGCGACGAUCAGUAGCUGGUCUGAGAGGAUGAUCAGCCACACUGGAACUGAGACACGGUCCAGACUCCUACGGGAGGCAGCAGUGGGGAAUCUUGCGCAAUGGGGGCAACCCUGACGCAGCCAUACCGCGUGUGCGAUGAAGGUCUUCGGAUUGAAAAGCACUUUCAGUAGGGACGACGAUGACGGUACCUACAGAAGAAGUCACGGCUAACUUCGUGCCAGCAGCCGCCGCCG
RNAcentral lists this ribosomal RNA (450 nucleotides) under uncultured bacterium. Its description in RNAcentral is "partial 16S ribosomal RNA". It matches the Rfam family "Bacterial small subunit ribosomal RNA", at positions 29 to 523 of the family's 1533-position model. The record is from RNAcentral.